CCGAGCCGGGUGGAUAGCUCGUAGAGGUAGACGAAACCUUAUGAAUAGAAUUGAGAUUGACAGGGAUAUAAGAUAAAGGAAAACUUAGAAGUCGAUUGGAUGAGAUAUGGUUACCAGGAUUGAAAGUAGUAUCGAAUGAACUACUAGUUGGUUAUAUAGUUGCAUUAUUGCAUGAAUUGCAUAUAGCAUGACAUUAUUACAUUUGUGAGGCAAAGUAUGGUAUUGUUAGUUGCAUAAUCUAGAUAUUAUAUCUAUCUGUUUAUUGAACUAACCUGCUGUUUGCCUCCUUUGGACCUGUUGGUCGAGCUUUUCCCUUGGGUGGCCGUACCCACUGGGAACCAUGGAGUUAGUUCUCACCCCACGUUGCUUUGGGGUGUUACAGGUUCGCACGUGAGCGGCGCAGCGGCACUAGGAAAGGACGUAACUCCAUAGAUAGCGCCCUACCACAAAGACCAGAGAUAGCAGUACCCCGAGUCGACAUAUCCUAGGGGUAUAGAGAUGAAAAGAUCAAUGUAUCGAAUUUGUAAUGAAUAAAUGAUGUAAUAAUUCAGAUUCCAUUUGGAUGAAAAAGAAUUGUAAUUGGGAUGUUAAAAGCAUGUAUGUGAAUGCUUGUAAUAACUUAGCUGUUAUGUUUUG
This 636-nucleotide long non-coding RNA is filed under the name Ananas comosus (pineapple). RNAcentral describes it as "long non-coding RNA (ACOM_LNC044487)". The record is from RNAcentral. Lineage: Eukaryota; Viridiplantae; Streptophyta; Magnoliopsida; Poales; Bromeliaceae.